RNAcentral lists this long non-coding RNA (2433 nucleotides) under Ananas comosus (pineapple). RNAcentral describes it as "long non-coding RNA (ACOM_LNC010437)". The record is from RNAcentral. Lineage: Eukaryota; Viridiplantae; Streptophyta; Magnoliopsida; Poales; Bromeliaceae.
UUUAGGCUUCGUUUCCGCCUGGAAGGCCGAGGCGACAUCGUAAACUCAUGAAAAUGGAUUUGAAGCAUCGUGACACAUAACCGAAGACCUUUAAUUUUCGGAUCGUGAAUUGGAGGCCGUUUGGGUGGUCGCGCGAGAGAUCGGGCCAAACCGGGUGCCGGGUGCCGCGGGCGGCCGAUUGCAAGUGUCGACAAGCAAUCGGAAAGCAUUUCGAGGUGGGUUGUGUUUACCGAAGUCACUAGGUUACCUUCAUGUCAAAGUGAAACAUGAGAUUCAUAUAGAUGCAUAUUAUUAUGUAUGCUAAUUGAUAGUGCAUGAUGAUGCAUUGAAGUGCAUGCUAGUUGAUAAUGAAAAAUUGAUAUGUUGAAGUAUGUGCUAGAUGAUAUUGCAUAUGAACACAUGAUGACAUGAUAUAGAGAACAUGAACAUACAAAUGAAUGUUAACGCUUUGUUAAUCAUAUGAGUUAUGAGAUCAUGUUGGAUAAUGCUUAGUGACAUAAUGAGAAAUUGUUAAUUAUACAUACACGUUAGCAUUAUGUAAAUGUAUGCUAGUUGGUAGAACACAUACUAGUGGUAAUUGCAUAAUAAUGCAUUGGAAAGUACAUGCUAGAAACUAGAUGCAAGCGAUAUAUAUAUGUGCAUUGGAAUGUAUGCUAGGUGCAUGUAGCAUUAUGUGGGCCGGUUGGAUAAAAUGCAUAAGUGCAUCAUGUGAAUACAUGUUAAAUGGUAUGGCAUAUUAACAUUAUGAAAAAUAUAUGCUAGAGGAAAAUGUUUAGUGACGUACUAAGAAUAUGUAGCUAUAACUCGAUGUGGACAAUUAGGUGUCAACUAGAUCGAGUGACAUUAACUUAAUGUAUUAAACAUAGGUCAAAUGUGACCCUAGGGUCGAGAACCUAGGAGGAGCAAGAAUGGUAUUUAACCUAGUGUCAUGGGCCUAGGGUAGAUCGAGUGGCAUUAACCUAGUGUUGUGAACAUAGGUUGAACAGAAUGAACCUAGAGUUAAUAAGAUCUAGGUAGAGAGGCUUAACCUAGUUUAAAGAACAUAGGUUAUGUGAAAAAGGGCAUUAAACCUAGAGUCAGCUAGACCUAGGAUGGAAAGUGCAUUGGACCUAGAUAGGUCAAUAUCAUAGGGUCGAGACUACCCUAGAGGUUUGGAAAGUAGAUUCCGGAAUCUUAGGUUUGUGAACUCGAUAGUUCUAAAGCCGUGGGGGCAGUUGGCAAUGUUCUCCUCCCACUGGAUGAACUUCGAGGAUGAGCUUAAGGCUGAUUCGAGGCCGCGGGUUGAGUGCGGCAGGGUUCCCCCUCCCGUCGGCAGAAUCGUGCUUCUCUAGGGUUGAGUGUGGCAUGUCCCCUUCCCUAUCGGGGGUCUUGGACCGCGGGUUGAGUAUGUGGCAUAAUCCCCUUCCCACCAGAAAGAUCCCUGACCACGGGUGUACACAGCUCUGGGCGACCCAUUCGGCGAUGAGUGUAUGGAUUGAAGGCUGAGAUUUGAGUGAGGAUUCCUCCAUCUCGGGCCGGACAGAGCGCGAACUAUCCGCAGUUGAUUGACUCGAGGCCGAGUCGGGUGGCUAGUAGUAAUGUGAUGGAUCUAAGGUAAUAGAAACCUUAGAGAUUAGUUGGAUCUGAGCGAGAUAGCAAGAUAGAAAUAGAAUCAAGUGAUUUACUUAUGAUAGUUGCAUAAUUGCAUUAUUGCAUAUAGCACGGCAUUGUUGUAAUUCUGAGGCAAAGCAUGGUUUCAUUAAUUGCAUAAUCAAUAUAUAUAUAUAUAUAUAUAUAUAUAUAUAUAUAUAUAUCUGUUUAUUGAGCUAACCUGCAGUUGCCUCCUUUGAACCUGAUGGCCGAGCUUUUUCCUUGGGUGGCCGUACCCACUAGGAACCAUGGAGUUGGUUCUCAUCCCACGUUGUUUUGGGGUGUUUACAGGUUCGCACGUGAGCGGCGCGGCAGCGCGAGGAAAGGACGUAGCUCCGUAGAUAGCGCCAUAUCCCAGAGACCAGAGCUAGAAGUACCCCGUCGACAUUGCUUAGGGGUUAAGAAAAUGAAAAGAACAUAAUGUAUCAAAUUUGUAAUAAGUAAAUGUUGUAAUAACUUAGAUUGCAUUUGGAUGAAAAGAAUGGUGGUUGAGAUGUAAAAUGCAUGAAUGUGAAUGAAUGUAAUAACAUAGGAUGUGUUUAUGUUGUUUGAUACCUUCCUUAUGCAAUCUUGAUUGAAAUGUGUUCCUGUUUGGAACUUCGUACAUUAUAUUGAUUGCGAUGCCUUGAACGUACAGGGGAGACUCUGUCCGCAGUACAGGGGAAACCCUGUCCGUUCGGCGGUCUGUCGGCGUGCUCGAACCUGACCAAACAGGCGGGGCUCGGGGCGUGACAGAUUGCCUCUCUCAAUGUUGAUGCUAACAUCUCUUGUUGGAUAUGUAUGCAUAGACUUUGUUACGCUUCG